UGCGGUAUCCUGACCGUGCUAAGGUAGCAUAAUAACUUGUCUAAUAAUUAUAGUCUAGAAUGAAUGGGUAAACGAAUGUGAAACUGUCUCAAUUAGAAACCUAAAAAUUAAUCUAUGGAUGAAAAAGCCCAUAUACUAAUAAAGGACAAGAAGACCCUAUAGAGCUAUGAUCCACAACUAUAUAAUAAAUAGAACAGAUCUUGGAUGGGGCGUCCGGAAGUAACCCAAUAAUAAACACUUCCUAUAAUACAGAUAAAUCCAUCACACACAUAACCUCACAACUGCUGAAUUUAAUCAAAGUUACCUUAGGGAUAACAGGCUAAUGCUUCCCAAGAGCCCAUAUCUACAGAAGCGCUUGGCACCUCGAUGUUGGCUUAGGAACA
RNAcentral lists this ribosomal RNA (383 nucleotides) under Heterodrilus paucifascis. Its description in RNAcentral is "partial 16S ribosomal RNA". It matches the Rfam family "Bacterial large subunit ribosomal RNA", at positions 1932 to 2544 of the family's 2925-position model. Lineage: Eukaryota; Metazoa; Annelida; Clitellata; Tubificida; Naididae. The record is from RNAcentral.